This 1308-nucleotide ribosomal RNA is filed under the name Escherichia coli. RNAcentral describes it as "partial 23S ribosomal RNA". It matches the Rfam family "Bacterial large subunit ribosomal RNA", at positions 1511 to 2797 of the family's 2925-position model. The record is from RNAcentral. Lineage: Bacteria; Pseudomonadati; Pseudomonadota; Gammaproteobacteria; Enterobacterales; Enterobacteriaceae.
UUUAAGCGUGUAGGCUGGUUUUCCAGGCAAAUCCGGAAAACCAAGGCUGAGGCGUGAUGACGAGGCACUACGGUGCUGAAGCGACAAAUGCCCUGCUUCCAGGAAAAGCCUCUAAGCAUCAGGUAACAUCAAAUCGUACCCCAAACCGACACAGGUGGUCAGGUAGAGAAUACCAAGGCGCUUGAGAGAACUCGGGUGAAGGAACUAGGCAAAAUGGUGCCGUAACUUCGGGAGAAGGCACGCUGAUAUGUAGGUGAAGCGACUUGCUCGUGGAGCUGAAAUCAGUCGAAGAUACCAGCUGGCUGCAACUGUUUAUUAAAAACACAGCACUGUGCAAACACGAAAGUGGACGUAUACGGUGUGACGCCUGCCCGGUGCCGGAAGGUUAAUUGAUGGGGUUAGCGGUAACGCGAAGCUCUUGAUCGAAGCCCCGGUAAACGGCGGCCGUAACUAUAACGGUCCUAAGGUAGCGAAAUUCCUUGUCGGGUAAGUUCCGACCUGCACGAAUGGCGUAAUGAUGGCCAGGCUGUCUCCACCCGAGACUCAGUGAAAUUGAACUCGCUGUGAAGAUGCAGUGUACCCGCGGCAAGACGGAAAGACCCCGUGAACCUUUACUAUAGCUUGACACUGAACAUUGAGCCUUGAUGUGUAGGAUAGGUGGGAGGCUUUGAAGUGUGGACGCCAGUCUGCAUGGAGCCGACCUUGAAAUACCACCCUUUAAUGUUUGAUGUUCUAACGUUGGCCCGUAAUCCGGGUUGCGGACAGUGUCUGGUGGGUAGUUUGACUGGGGCGGUCUCCUCCUAAAGAGUAACGGAGGAGCACGAAGGUUGGCUAAUCCUGGUCGGACAUCAGGAGGUUAGUGCAAUGGCAUAAGCCAGCUUGACUGCGAGCGUGACGGCGCGAGCAGGUGCGAAAGCAGGUCAUAGUGAUCCGGUGGUUCUGAAUGGAAGGGCCAUCGCUCAACGGAUAAAAGGUACUCCGGGGAUAACAGGCUGAUACCGCCCAAGAGUUCAUAUCGACGGCGGUGUUUGGCACCUCGAUGUCGGCUCAUCACAUCCUGGGGCUGAAGUAGGUCCCAAGGGUAUGGCUGUUCGCCAUUUAAAGUGGUACGCGAGCUGGGUUUAGAACGUCGUGAGACAGUUCGGUCCCUAUCUGCCGUGGGCGCUGGAGAACUGAGGGGGGCUGCUCCUAGUACGAGAGGACCGGAGUGGACGCAUCACUGGUGUUCGGGUUGUCAUGCCAAUGGCACUGCCCGGUAGCUAAAUGCGGAAGAGAUAAGUGCUGAAAGCAUCUAAGCACGAAACUUGC